RNAcentral lists this ribosomal RNA (435 nucleotides) under uncultured Sphingobacteriales bacterium. RNAcentral describes it as "bacterial SSU rRNA". It matches the Rfam family "Bacterial small subunit ribosomal RNA", at positions 945 to 1382 of the family's 1533-position model. The record is from RNAcentral. Lineage: Bacteria; Pseudomonadati; Bacteroidota; Sphingobacteriia; Sphingobacteriales.
UUUAAUUCGAUGAUACGCGAGGAACCUUACCUGGGCUCAAAUGUAUGUUGACGUAUUCUGAAAGGGAUACUUCUUCGGACAAUAUACAAGGUGCUGCAUGGUUGUCGUCAGCUCGUGCCGUGAGGUGUCGGGUUAAGUCCCAUAACGAGCGCAACCCCUAUCAUUAGUUGCCAUCAGGUCAAGCUGGGGACUCUAAUGAAACUGCCUACGCAAGUAGUGAGGAAGGUGGGGAUGACGUCAAAUCAGCACGGCCCUUACGUCCAGGGCUACACACGUGCUACAAUGGCCGGUACAAAGGGCAGCUACCUGGUGACAGGAUGCUAAUCUCAAAAGCCGGUCUCAGUUCGGAUCGGAGUCUGCAACCCGACUCCGUGAAGCUGGAAUCGCUAGUAGUCGCAGAUCAGCCAAGCUGCGGUGAAUACGUUCCCGGGCCUU